CACAUGCAAGCCGAGCGGUAUAGAUUCUUCGGAAUCUAGAGAGCGGCGUACGGGUGCGGAACACGUGUGCAACCUGCCUUUAUCUGGGGGAUAGCCUUUCGAAAGGAAGAUUAAUACCCCAUAAUAUAUUGACUGGCAUCAGUUGAUAUUGAAAACUCCGGUGGAUAGAGAUGGGCACGCGCAAGAUUAGAUAGUUGGUGAGGUAACGGCUCACCAAGUCUACGAUCUUUAGGGGGCCUGAGAGGGUGAUCCCCCACACUGGUACUGAGACACGGACCAGACUCCUACGGGAGGCAGCAGUGAGGAAUAUUGGACAAUGGGUGAGAGCCUGAUCCAGCCAUCCCGCGUGAAGGACGACGGCCCUAUGGGUUGUAAACUUCUUUUGUAUAGGGAUAAACCUACUCUCGUGAGAGUA
This 415-nucleotide ribosomal RNA is filed under the name Chryseobacterium sp. Carola1. RNAcentral describes it as "bacterial SSU rRNA". It matches the Rfam family "Bacterial small subunit ribosomal RNA", at positions 52 to 467 of the family's 1533-position model. Lineage: Bacteria; Pseudomonadati; Bacteroidota; Flavobacteriia; Flavobacteriales; Weeksellaceae. The record is from RNAcentral.